Danio rerio (zebrafish) is the source of this 2267-nucleotide non-coding RNA. Lineage: Eukaryota; Metazoa; Chordata; Actinopteri; Cypriniformes; Danionidae. The record is from RefSeq and is a predicted model, not a curated record.
GACUGAGCACGGUUUAAAUUCUUUAACAGCUUGCUGUACGUCAGUGAGGGUGAAAACAGACACACGCUGCGGCCUCAAAAGGCUUCAGAAUGGCUGUUUUGGCCGUUUUGUUUUCGGCUGUGAUGCUCCUUUCUGUUGUAUCAGUCCGGACCGAAAAACACUCCCUCUACUACAUAUACACAGCUUUAUCCAGACCUGUCGACCAGUCGGGCAUCUAUCAAUUCACUGCAAUGGGUUUGCUUGAUGACAGACAGAUUGACUAUUACAAUAACAUAGAUCAGAAGAAGAUUCCUAAACAGCACUGGAUGAAAGAGAAAAUGCAGGAAGAUUACUGGGAAAAAGGCACCCAGUCCAGAAAGAGCAAAGAACAGUGGUUUAAUGUGAACGUCAACAUUCUGAUGGACCGAAUGAGACACAAUAAUUCAGAUCUUCAUGUUCUUCAGUGGAGACAUGGUUGUGAAAUUGAGAUUCAGGGGAAUGAACACCGCUUUUCUAAAGGCAUUGAUGAGUACAGCUAUGAUGGAAGAAACUUCCUUUCUUUUGAUGAUGCGGAGUCUCAGUGGGUUGCCCCAGUGGACGCAGCUCUUCCAACCAAGAGGAAAUGGGAUAAUGUGCCCAUCCUAAAUCAGUACACCAAGGGCUACCUGGAAAAAGAGUGUGUGGACUGGCUCAACAAAUUCAGAGAAUACGGAGAUCAGGAGCUUAGAGACGGCUCUCCCCCAGAUGUUUAUGUGUUUGCAAGAAGGAUUAUCAGUGGCAAAAUCAAGCUAAAACUUACCUGUAUGGCCACUGGAUUCUACCCCAAAGAUAUGAUUUUGACUAUAAGGAAAUACCGCACGACACUGCCUGAUAAUGAUCUAGAUUCCUCAGGAGUUAGACCAAACCAGGAUGGGACCUUUCAGCUGAGAAAGAGCACUAACAUCUAUGAGGAUGAAAAAGCAGAAUAUGACUGUUAUGUGAACCACAGAACCCUCAAGGAACCAAUUAUCGUCAGAUGGAAUGGUGAAUACCUUUCAGAGCCUCCCAUAGCCAUCAUUGCAGCAAUAAUUGGAGUUUUGAUUCUGCUGGUAGCCAUUGGUGUAACAGUUUGGAUCUUAAAAAAGAAGAACAUAAUUGGAAAUAAGGAUGAGAAACGCUUUGUCGUAUAAACUGUUUCUGGAAAUAAGGAUGAGAAACGCUCUAUGCCAAAUGGUUCGGCCAACUAUGGUAGAGGGAGUAGUGCUUGAAGUUCAGAAAGCAGUCCUCGCUCCCAGGAAAACAUGGACAAUGUGUGAGGGAGUGCAAAAAUAAACCACCAGCUGCGGAAGGACAAUCUCUACUGAUGGAAACACUGGAAGUUGAAAAUUCCUGUUAGAUGAAGAGAAAAAAGUCUACUGAGAGAGAACUGAAGAGUUAAACAAAGUCGGAUCAUCAGAUGGUCAACAUAGAUAGCCCUGCCUUUUGUUUUUCUUAAAAUUUCUCCUAAAAUCUAGUUUUGUUCAUUAUAUAUUUUUUACAGAUGUUUUGACUUAUUAUUUCUACAUCUAAAAGAUGAAGUUGAGUGUUUUUUUUCUUUCUUGUUUUUCCCUUGAUAAUUUUCAAUGCCGAUUUAAAAAAUAUGUGCACAUUUUUAGCACCAAAAAACCCAGAGCUUAUUUGCUGAAUGUAUCAUAAAAUGAUCCUCAAUGCUCUAUAAAAAAUUGAAAAUGUUUUCUUCAGUUUUUCACUCUAAAAGGGUUGUUUUAUAUUAGUUGCUUAAUUUAGAUUUAAUUUUCAGCUUUUAUAUAAAUAAUUAUGAGUGAUCUUGUAUUAUUUCUUCAUAAUAAGAUGCAUCAGUGUUAAGGAUAUUUUCUUGUUAUUAAGUUAUUCUGUUCCUUAUUAAAGUUAUAGCAUACAUGUGGUGUAUUCUAUAGCUGUCAUUUGUAGUGCUUUUACAAAAAAGGUAAAGUUGGUUUUUAUAUUCAGACAUUCUGACUUUCUCCCUAAUAAUGCAACUGCAGAAAAGUAUUCUUUGCAAAUUCUGAAUAGUGAAAUCAUAUUAGCAGCCAACGACUAUCAAAGUACAAUAUUGCUCACAGUCAAAUAAAUAGAGCUAAUGUUGUUUUGAAGUCAUACUUGCAUGAGAUUUCAAGCCAAACAUUUAUAGGGAGCAUUUCACGAGUUGUUACUGAACGAAUGCGUAAAUAUAAAACAAACUUUACCUUAAUAUAUAGUUUUGGCUUUGUUUAAAAUCUGAGCAUCUUGUGAAUUUUGCACUUUCUUCACAAUAAAGUGGUUUUAAAAAAGAG